UGGCUUACUGUGAUCGUUGUCC
This 22-nucleotide microRNA is filed under the name Amborella trichopoda. RNAcentral describes it as "atr-miR8568". The record is from miRBase by way of RNAcentral. Lineage: Eukaryota; Viridiplantae; Streptophyta; Magnoliopsida; Amborellales; Amborellaceae.